AACUUCUUUUAUAUAAUCCAUCAUGGACCUCAGAAUGAUAUCCAAGAGAAUAGGCUGAAUAUUAUUUCUAUGAGCAAAAUGAAGACAGGGUUUAUGUUAUUUUUUGUUUUUAUUUUCUCGCUUUUCUAGGUCUAGUACCUUAUUUCAUCAGGAAGAAUCUCUUUUACACUGCUAUUCAUUUUCAGCUAUUUAUUAUUUUUUAACACAGUGCAGUAUCAUCCUAAAUAAAUAAUCAGCAGGUGUUUAAUUAAGUCCUAUUAUAGGUUUAACUCUGAAUAGUACUCAAAUUGUCUAAAAUAAUAUUUCCAGAAUAAGAUUCCUCCCCCACCAAAAAAAAAAAUUGUCAUUUUGCUUUGCAAAGACAGAGAGACAGAGAGAGAGAAAGAGAGAGAGAGAGAAAGGAGCUGAUUUAAAACAAAAGCUGCCUAUCUUUUGAAGAUUCACAGCACUAAAAAGCUAUGAGGAGUUAUGCAGUGAAAAUCUGUUUAUUUCACUAAGUAUUUCUUAAACUUAUUUGUACCACUCCUUAUAGAAGUAUAGUCACUUCUAUAGAGGCUCAUGACUAAUUUAUAAUACCUGAAGAACACACUACUUGAAGGUUGGUGUUAUAUUUCAGAGUAUCUUUCUGAAGCUUCGUAUGGAUGGCUCAAACUCUUCCACUGUCUGAAAUUUACCUCUUCCCGGUUUCAGGGUCUCUCAGUCACUGAAGGUGAGAGACUGAGAUCAUUUCUAACAAUGCUCUUUCUUCUGGCAAGGCCAACCCAAGUAAGAAUCUGUAUUCCUCCAUUUAAUGCAACAUAUCGUCAUGUGUUUUCAUCUUAUGAAAGGGUAAUCUCAAUGCCAGUAGGCAAUGUAACAACCAGGUAUUUUGAAUAAACCAAUGAACAAUUCAGUACUGCAAAACAUUGCAGAAGAGGCUUAUACACAAUAAAUAUUAAAUAGAUGGUAUAUUAUCUAUAAAUUAUUAUUAUUGUUAUUAUUAUUGCCCUGUAAAAAUAGCUUCGUUUUAUGCAAUGCAGGUGUUUUGAAUAUUUGAAUGCAUAUUAUAUUUUCGUAAAUGGAAUAUGAUUAAAGACUUAGUACAGUUGGAUGCCUAAAGGAACUAUAGCUAAAACUUUUGCAAAAUUAAAAUGGAUUACUAUUUGCAAUAUGAUUAUAAUCCCACACAAAAUAACAUAUAGUUUCCUAUUACUUUCAGUAUUCUGAAAAUGAGUAUAUAACAUAAUUAUGAUAGGGCAUCCAUAUAUGGUGUAUAAUGUUCAAAAUGUAAAAAAAAAUCUGGUUAACCGACUUGAAAGUGACAAAUUCAUAAAGGAUAUGAGAAGCGAUUAAGACUGUAAAGGGAAUAUCAGUACAUUUUGAAGUUUUCCCUUUCAGGAAAAUCUUUCUGAAAUUCUACAGCAUGUUUUAUGGUUGAGGCAUUUAUUCAGGGAAAUAUUCCCAAAGUCCUAUGCUCUGGAUAUCCAUUCUCUGAGCUUUUGCCUUUACAUGCUUGUUAUACACUGAUGACAUUUUAAUCCUGGAAAUGUAUUGUCUCCAUAACUGAACACCUGCCACAAGGCACAACAUUAGACUCAGAACAUGCAUUCAAAUAUCCUAGGGUCAAUUUAUUAGAAGUUAUCAGAGCACAUUGCUCAAAAACAGAAAAAUUAAUCAAAAUGUCCAAUUUUAGCUUUGCUAGCAACAGCAGGGCACAACAGACUGCAGAACUGAUUAGUUACUUAUUAAAUAAGAACAGUGGUGACAGAGUUUUAAAAUAUCAAAUUAGCCUAGCAGAACUCCCAGCAAAAUGGAAAACCCUAAGCACAAGUUGGGCUAUAGACACAGCAGGGGCCCAUCUAUGGAAGGUGGCAGUAACUAAGGCUCUGGCAGAUGCUGCUCCUGCAAAACUUUAUACUCUUGGGCUUAAAGAGUUAUUCUGGUUUGUUCCACUUUCAGUGAUUGUAUCCCCUGCACAAUUUAUCCACUUGGUCUGAAAUGAUAGGAGGGAAAUCAAGGACCCUCUGGGCCUUACACCUGGUCCAGAAUAUGCUCCCCUAUCUGGCUAUUCAGAAACCAAGAUGCAACCAAACUUGGCCACAAGGCAAGCCACUGGGCGGCAUCACCAGAUGUUAUUCCUAGCCUAUACAGAAUAAGUAAAUGAAUAAAUAAAAGUGAUCACGUAUUCCACCAAUGUUAUACAUAUAUUACUACUCACCAUUAAUGGCUAGCAACUAGCUAUCUGACAAAGUUGGAUCAGUUGUUUCCAGAAGUUAGGUAAUAUGAGCUAAGGAUCUGUGCAGCUAGCUGCUUCCUGUGAGAUGAGAAUUCACAUAUGUGGAAUGCUGCCCAUGAACCCUGAAUACUGAUAUUUAAUUUUGAAAGAUUGUUGAAGAGGUUGUAAUACAACUUCCUCUGGAGCUUAGCAUCAUCCCAAUCUUGGGGCUAAAUAUACGGUUAACUAUUCAAUGUCUUUCAUUUUAUCAUCUAUAGUGUCCUUUAGUGAACCUUAGGAAGGACCAACAUCUGUCUUUUGGCAUCCAGCUGAGUCCAACAAGGCAAGCAAAGGGAAAAACAAAACAAAAAAACAAACAAAAAAAUAGCAGCAAAGGAGUUAAAGAGAGAGUGUCAAGUCCAUAAUCUCCUCUGUGCUGCUAACUCCUCCAAAUAGAAGCAGCAUUUUAUGAUGAAGUCAUCCCCAGGUUCCCACAUGCCCUGGAAGAGAUUGGCUGUCUUUCCAAAGCUUUUCACCUAUGUAAGGUGUUCAUUAUGAGUCUAGGUUUGGGAAAUGAAGGCUGUUUAUAUCUCAAAUUACCUUCUAGUCGAGCUCUUCUCCACAACUAAUUGGCAUGACCUUGGGUGUAUCUGCUCUUGAAUAUCCUCGACAUCCAUCUGCUAUAAAGAUGAAUUAGUUAUUUAGGUAGCAAUCAGCUUUCCUGGUUUAGCCAAAGUGUGUCCAUUUCUCUUCAGGCCUGUUAAGCUGAGAAUGAACUUUCAAGCUAAUGCACAGUGCAGUCACCACUCUGGAGAUGCCAGACACCUAAAUAUUCUGUAUUCACUGGGGAAAAAAAAAAAGUUCUUUCUAAAAUAGGAAGAUAGGAAGAAGAAGGGAGGAGGGAUGGGGGGGCGGAAGUCAAUAAAAACCUAGAGAUUCAAUUAAGAGUUUAGGUGUCUGCCAGCUUUUAUUAGCUCCAACUUUGACUUAUAUGACUGAGGUCAGCAAGCGAUCAGUGUGGAUGCAAGGAGGCCAGAGGAAUUGCAUCAGGGCCUUGGAUACAGGGAAGACCAAGUCUCCUAAAUGGGUAGCAAGAGAUGAUUGGCUCUAAGGAUAGGAAAAUCACAAGGUAUUUUAGGGGAAAGCUGAAUGCUCAGUGUUUAUUCCUUGGAAAGCAUACAUUUCUCUGCAAGCCUAUAGCCAACAUGUCGGACUCCCCCUCUGUCACAUGGCAGGUCAAGUUUACCAUGAAAAUCCUUCAGGUCAUUCUUCCUUCUCCCCAUGUGCACACAUACCCAAUCCUUAAAGAGAGAAAAGUUUUGUUGUCCAUGCCUGAAUUAAGAUAAGACAUAAUCUGAAGUAUUUGGAAUCUGUUUCUAGUAACAAAGUAUGAAAUAAUGUCUCAUUUUUGAGUUCUUUUGUUUAUUUUUUUUUUGCUUUUUAGGGCCACACCUAUGGCAUAUGGUAGUUCCCAGGCUAGGGGUUGAAUUAGAGCUACAGCUGCUGCUGGCCUACGCCACAGCCACAGCCAUGCAGGAUCCGAGCUGUGUCUACGACCCAUACCACAGCUCAUGGCAACGCCGGAUCCUUAACCCACUGAGUGAGGCCAGGGAUUGAACCCACAUCCUCAUGGAUCCUAGUCAGGUUUGUUAACUGUUGAGCCAUGAAGGGAACUCAUCACACAUCUUGAAUGUGAUCUUUGUUCAUUAGGAGAGGAAAAUAAUAUAAAAAAAUACUAGGUACUGGAAUGAUACACAUUCACUGACAUAUUUUAGCCCAGAAUGUCCACAGAGCAACAAAGAUCAUAGUCAAAAAAACGGAUAAUAUUUCAUAUUGAAAAAAGUGAAUAGCCUUGGGCAAACACCACAGUCAAUGUUUUGGAGCUAAAAAAAAAAAAAAAAAAUGGAGGCUAAGUGGGACAGCUUCCUCACUUGAAAUAACCCAGCUGCUUUUAUUUCACAUCCCAGUCUUCUGGUUUUAAGUGUACUCCUGUCACUAUAUAUCCAUGCAGCAAAAAACUAGACAUGUAUUGAGUACCUAUUGCAUGGAAGUCAGUAUCCUUGAUAUAGGGGAUCCAACAGUGUGUAAAAAAAAAAAUCCAUGGUUUCACAGAUCUAACAUUUGACAGUGUUCCUCAUAUUGUGCUUAGUUUUCUUCUUAAGACUUGAGGACAACAUGUCAGUGGCAUUUUCUUGGUUUGUUUGCUUAUUUGUUUUUAUGUCAAAACUUCUCGAUUACUUGGGGUCACGUUAUGCUCAAGAGAGUCGUGUUGAUUUUGUUUCAUCCAAGUACUUAUUUUUAAAUACCCAUUAGAUGGUAGUGACUGGUAUUAGGCACUGUGAUACAUAAAUAAAACUAAGACCAUGAGAUUUGGAAAGAGGAUGCCUCAGAGAUUUUAAGGAAAUAACAGGGAUUCUGAUUUAAACUAGAGGACUGAACAAGGGUUUACCACAUCUCCCCUUAAAACGUCAUUAUUUUGAAAUAAACAUUUUGUGAAAAACAUAAGGUCCCAAGGACAAAGGUAAUAAGAUAGAAAGCAACAGAAGGCAAAGAAUGGGAUCACAUGUAGCAGGUGGGAAACUGUUGGAUGAGACAAAACUGACCUAUCAUAUAGGGGAAAGCUGAAUGCUCAGUGUCUCUAGGUGUAUGUAGGUGGAUGGAUAAUACAAAGAGGCAGACCAACUUGUGAUUCAGAACCCUGGGAGGAUCCAAGAAUUGAAACAUGAAGCAGGUCAGCAGUUAGAGUGAUUUUGGGGACAAUGGACAGGAGGAUUUUUUGGAAAUCUGUAUGCGAUACAUUUUACUUCCAGCUCUCAUCUUUCACUGCAUAGUGCCAAUGGCACCACAUUCCUGUCCUCGGCAGAAUACUAACAUUUCAGUCUCUGGAAGAGCUGAAUUAGAGAGAUUGUUCAGGGGACACUGAAUAAAAUCAUACGAAUUAAGUAACCGUCCUCCUUGAGUCCCUUCCACAUGCAGCUCCAUUCCCUUAUCAGACUCUACAGAGGGCAGUUUCUGAGGCAGCACUCAAUAUUCCCCCCUUUUCAGUAACCAAGCCCAUGUGGAUAACUCCCUCCCCUCCCCAGUGUGUGGGCUGGGCCUAGGGACUUGCUUCUAAUGGAUAAAAUAUGGCAAAGUAAUGGGAUGUCACUUCCAUCGUUAAGUAACAACGACUGUGACUGUGUCUUGCUGGCAUUCUGUUGGUGUUUUCCUGACUUCUUACUUACUCAGUCUGAUGAUGCAAGCUCUGUGGACAGUUCCACUUAGAAAGAAACUAAGGAAGCCCUCCAUCCAGCAGCAAGCGAGGAAAUACAUCCCACCAACAACCAUGUGAGUGAGCUAGAAAGAGCCUUCUCAGUCAAGCUCUAAGAUGACUGCAGACUUCUAAGGUGGUCAGAUGGCCUGGUUUUCCCAGGACUGAGGGGUUUUCUGGGAUACCGCACUUUUACGGCUAAGACUAAGAGAAUGCUGGGCAAAUUGGGAUGGAUGUUCACCCUACUUGUGAGAGAUCCAGGGCCAGAAGCCCCAGCUCAGCUGCACCCACAUUCCUGACCCCAGAAACUGUGACGUAAUAAAUGUUGUUAUUUUAAGUCACUGAUUUGGGGGCUAAUUUGUUAUAUAAUUAUAGAUAACGAAAAUAGACUAUCAGAGCACUGAUACCCAGAGUUACAGCAGCAAGGCAAGAUAUCUGACUACUUCUCAUGAUAAAAGGAUGACCAUAAGAGAAAAGGUCCAUCAUUCUUACAACCAGUGGUUUUCCUAAGAAAAUUCUAAGAUUCCUAUCUAAGUAUUCUAAGAUGAAGUCUACCUCUUGUCAAGACCUACUUGUGCAUGGAGAAUGUCCUAAAAACAUUUUAACAUUUCCCUUUUAAGGGAACUGAUAGCCAAGAUUAAAAUAAAAUUUUAAAGAAAGCUUCUAAUAUAAAGGUCAAAAAGCAAAGAAAAUGUACAGAAAAAAAAAAGUGAUGAAAGAGAAUGUAGAGAGCAAAAGAAAACUUCCCUGGAAUUACUAAUGUACCCAUUAGCAUACUCAAAACUGUAAAAGAAAAGAGUGCAGUCAUAAAAUCAGGACAAAUGCUAUAAAAGGAGCAUUAAUAGAAUAAAUAAUCUUGGAAAUGAAGAAUAUGAAACAUAUUAAAUCUUCACAGAAGUGUUAAAAGAUAAAGGCAACUUUCUCAGAAACCUGAAUAAAAAGACAAGAGUUGAAGUCAUAAAAGAAGACAGAAUUAAAUUAAAGCAUCAGUCGAAGAUUAAUAGGAAUACCAGACAACCAGAGAAUUAAGAAAAGAAAGAAAAAAAAAUAUCCAAUAAUUUUUUUUAGAAAAAUCCAACUUAGACUUCAACAAGAGUUGAAGUCAUAAAAGAAGACAGAAUUAAAUUAAAGCAUCAGUCGAAGAUUAAUAGGAAUACCAGACAACCAGAGAAUUAAGAAAAGAAAGAAAAAAAAAUAUCCAAUAAUUUUUUUUAGAAAAAUCCAACUUAGAAGCCACCAAGCACC
Molecule: long non-coding RNA, 6689 nt
Filed under: Sus scrofa (pig)
Lineage: Eukaryota; Metazoa; Chordata; Mammalia; Artiodactyla; Suidae
Description: lncRNA (ENSSSCG00000053227.1)
Source: RNAcentral